RNAcentral lists this non-coding RNA (24 nucleotides) under Arabidopsis thaliana (thale cress). The record is from RNAcentral. Lineage: Eukaryota; Viridiplantae; Streptophyta; Magnoliopsida; Brassicales; Brassicaceae.
AGCACCGGAUUGGAAUCUACCAUU